UACGUAGGGGGCGAGCGUUAUCCGGAUUCACUGGGUGUAAAGGGAGCGUAGACGGCCAUGCAAGCCAGGGGUGAAAGCCCGGGGCCCAACCCCGGGACUGCCCUUGGAACUGCAUGGCUGGAGUGCGGGAGGGGCAGGCGGAAUUCCUGGUGUAGCGGUGAAAUGCGUAGAUAUUAGGAGGAACACCAGUGGCGAAGGCGGCUUACUGGACUGUAACUGACGUUGAGGCUCGAAAGCGUGGGGAGCAAACAGG
This 253-nucleotide ribosomal RNA is filed under the name uncultured bacterium. RNAcentral's name for it is "partial 16S ribosomal RNA". It matches the Rfam family "Bacterial small subunit ribosomal RNA", at positions 524 to 776 of the family's 1533-position model. The record is from RNAcentral.